Molecule: ribosomal RNA, 501 nt
Filed under: uncultured bacterium
Lineage: Bacteria
Description: partial 16S ribosomal RNA
Rfam family: Bacterial small subunit ribosomal RNA
Source: RNAcentral
AUUGAACGCUGGCGGCAUGCCUUACACAUGCAAGUCGAACGGCAGCACGGGUGCUUGCACCUGGUGGCGAGUGGCGAACGGGUGAGUAAUAUAUCGGAACGUACCUUAUUGUGGGGGAUAACGCAGCGAAAGCUGUGCUAAUACCGCACAAUCCCUAAGGGGGAAAGCGGGGGACCGUAAGGCCUCGCGCAAUUAGAGCGGCCGAUACCUGAUUAGCUAGUUGGUGAGGUAAAGGCUCACCAAGGCGACGAUCAGUAGCUGGUCUGAGAGGACGAUCAGCCACACUGGGACUGAGACACGGCCCAGACUCCUACGGGAGGCAGCAGUGGGGAAUUUUGGACAAUGGGGGCAACCCUGAGCCAGCAAUGCCGCGUGAGUGAAGAAGGCCUUCGGGUUGUAAAGCUCUUUUGUCAGGGAAGAAACAGCAGCUCUAACACAGUAUGCGAAUGACGGUACCUGAAGAAUAAGCACCGGCUAACUACGUGCCAGCCGCCGCCGUAA